ACGUUCUAGUGGGUGGGGAGACAGACGGUAAGCGUACGGAGAACUUGCAGCUGGGGUGGGUGUUACAGAGGAAAAGCAGGAGUGCGGUUUAACGGGGGCCGCUUUAGAUAGAAUAGCCUAAGAAGGCCCUUGUCCUGGCUGGAUGAGUGGGUGAAUUGAUGAAUGAGAACCUCCUUGCAGAGGCCUUCCCGGUCCGUACUUCUCAGACCGUAGACCUUGGAGCAGUUGUACCGGGAUAACUUGCAGUGCUUGUUAAACAUAUAGCUCCACCGAGAGCCCGGUAAAUCAGAAUCUCUGAGGGGUAGGACCCAGGUGUCUAGUUAUUAACAAACUCUCCAGAUGAUUCUUAGGUUUCAUUGAGAACUAGGGAUGCAGACCGGUGCAUACAAAUCGUCUGGGGACGUUAAAAUGCAGAAUCUGUUUUUUUAGACCUGGGGUUAGGCCUCAGAGUCUCCAUUUCUAAGAACCAUCCGGCUGAGGUAGACGUAGCCACUGUCCUUAACUCUCGUAAUGUCUCUUCCUCUUCCGUAACCUUCCUUGUCCCUUGAAUUAAACGUUUUUCAGCA
This 566-nucleotide long non-coding RNA is filed under the name Homo sapiens (human). RNAcentral's name for it is "HSALNT0269337". The record is from RNAcentral. Lineage: Eukaryota; Metazoa; Chordata; Mammalia; Primates; Hominidae.